GCAUUACUGUACCAGAGGCCCUACUGAGUACUAAUCUACAAUAGCACCAGAACAACUAUUAGCAUAAUCUUCCUCCAAAAUUGAUUAAAUAUACAAAAUUCAAUCCAUAAUUCCAUCUACCUUGAAGAAAUUUUAUUUACUGUGUCAAUUUCCCACUGUAUACAGCAUAAAAAUCACGAAAUCAGUCACCUAAUGCUACAUUGGUGCAAGAUGAAGUUGUCCAAAAUUGUUAUGCACAUAAUAUUGUCCUUAUCUUCAUAUUUAUAAAUGCUCCACUGCAUGGAAUAAAAGCAAUCAUAUUUCAAGUCACCAGCCAAGUUGAAACUGAUAUGUUGUCAUAUAUUUGAUGUUUCUUCCUUUAAUUAUCUGGAUCUCCAUCAAUAGUAGUUGGUGUAGCCACA
RNAcentral lists this unclassified non-coding RNA (401 nucleotides) under Hevea brasiliensis (rubber tree). Lineage: Eukaryota; Viridiplantae; Streptophyta; Magnoliopsida; Malpighiales; Euphorbiaceae. The record is from RNAcentral.